Molecule: long non-coding RNA, 737 nt
Organism: Anolis carolinensis (green anole)
Lineage: Eukaryota; Metazoa; Chordata; Lepidosauria; Squamata; Anolidae
Exons: 3
Source: RefSeq, a predicted model, not a curated record
CCCCCCCCCAUAAGACAUCAAGGUUGCUGUCUGGAUUAACUCUUAUUGCUUGGAAACUCUAAGCAUUAUUUCUGCUGCAGGAACCGCAGAUACAAACCCAGUGGCGAAUAAUGAAACCCAGUCAUGGGCCGCUGAGAGUCCAUGCUUAGCGAGAUGAAAGGCUAAAAACCAAUAUUCUCCAAUCAAAGAAAUCACACCAGUUGAAGCCACCAAGGAGUUGAUUUUAUCUGGCCAGAAAGGAUGACAGCUAGUGGUGCUUGGUUUACGACCGUAUUUCCCCUAUGAACCUGCAUGCUCUCUUCGAUCAUCUGGGGAGGCCCUUCUCUCGCUUUCACCUUCAUCACAAUCUUGGCUUGUCGGGACAAGGGAGAAGGUCUUCUCUGCAGUGGUCCCCAGAUUUGGAACUCCCUUCCUAGGAAGAUUAGGCAAGUACCCACUCUAUCAUCUUUUAAAAAGGAGUUAAAAACUUGGCUCUUCUAGUGCGCUUUUGAAUAAUCUAGUCCCUGUGAUCAAAACUCUACUUAACGAAUUCACUAUAUUUUACCCUUUAUUCUACUUUCUACUGUAAAUAACUCACUCCAAUUCUCUUGAGAAUGUUUUGAGCACUUUGUCCUUCUACGCUCCCAAAUGACACUAUAAUACAUAUCUUACACUUUCGCCUAGACCGCCCUCCCGUUUUAUUGCACUUAGCCUAAAUGGUGGUCCUUUUAUGUCAUCAUUCUAUAUUUUAUAUUGGU